UGGGGAAUAUUGCACAAUGGGCGAAAGCCUGAUGCAGCAACGCCGCGUGAAGGAUGAAGGCCUUUGGGUCGUAAACUUCUGUCCUUGGGGAAGAAAAAAAUGACGGUACCCCUGGAGGAAGUCCCGGCUAACUACGUGCCAGCAGCCGCGGUAAUACGUAGGGGGCGAGCGUUAUCCGGAAUUAUUGGGCGUAAAGAGUACGUAGGUGGUUUUUUAAGCGCAGGGUUUAAGGCGAUGGCUCAACUGUCGUUCGCCCUGUGAACUGGAAGACUUGAGUACAGGAGAGGAAAGCGGAAUUCCUAGUGUAGCGGUGAAAUGCAUAGAUAUUAGGAGGAACACCAGUGGCGAAGGCGGCUUUCUGGACUGUAACUGACACUGAGGUACGAAAGCGUGGGGAGC
This 399-nucleotide ribosomal RNA is filed under the name uncultured bacterium. RNAcentral's name for it is "bacterial SSU rRNA". It matches the Rfam family "Bacterial small subunit ribosomal RNA", at positions 355 to 769 of the family's 1533-position model. The record is from RNAcentral.